RNAcentral lists this ribosomal RNA (253 nucleotides) under uncultured bacterium. Its description in RNAcentral is "partial 16S ribosomal RNA". It matches the Rfam family "Bacterial small subunit ribosomal RNA", at positions 524 to 776 of the family's 1533-position model. The record is from RNAcentral.
UACGUAGGGACCAAGCGUUGUCCGGAAUCAUUGGGCGUAAAGAGCGUGUAGGCGGCUUGUUAAGUCUUGCGUGAAAUCUCGGGGCUCAACCCCGAGCGGUCGUGAGAAACUGGCAGGCUAGAGUGCGGGAGAGGAGAGUGGAAUUCCUGGUGUAGCGGUGAAAUGCGCAGAUAUCAGGAAGAACACCCGUGGCGAAGGCGGCUCUCUGGGCAGUAACUGACGCUGAGGAGCGAAAGCGUGGGGAGCGAACAGG